AAAGAAAAAUUCGAAUGGCAUUGUUGGCAUCUUCUGGAAAGCCACUGAAGAAUGAUGCCGAAUCACAGAAUGCAAAGGUAGCUGUAACCGAAGAGAAGAAACCUUCUGAAGAGACGGAUGAUGCUGUGAAAAUAUGUUAUAGGUGUAAGAAGG
Molecule: non-coding RNA, 153 nt
Organism: Camelina sativa (false flax)
Lineage: Eukaryota; Viridiplantae; Streptophyta; Magnoliopsida; Brassicales; Brassicaceae
Source: RefSeq, a predicted model, not a curated record